AACGCACAUUGCGCCCGCCGGUAUUCCGGCGGGCAUGCCUGUUCGAGCGUCAUUUCAACCCUCAGGCCCUGCCUGGUGUUGGGGCACCACUGCUGUGGGCUCCCAAAUUCAACGGCGGGCGCGUCCCGGACCCGAGCGUAGUAACAUACAUCGCUUAGGGCGCCGAGCGUGCUUCAGCCGUUAAACAUAUUUUCUAGGUUGACCUCGGAUCAGGUAGGAAUACCCGCUGAACUUAA
Molecule: unclassified non-coding RNA, 236 nt
Filed under: uncultured fungus
Lineage: Eukaryota; Fungi
Description: sequence contains ITS2
Rfam family: 5.8S ribosomal RNA (bases 1-52)
Source: RNAcentral